RNAcentral lists this ribosomal RNA (409 nucleotides) under uncultured bacterium. RNAcentral describes it as "bacterial SSU rRNA". It matches the Rfam family "Bacterial small subunit ribosomal RNA", at positions 520 to 929 of the family's 1533-position model. The record is from RNAcentral.
GUAAUACGGAGGAUGCGAGCGUUAUCCGGAUUUAUUGGGUUUUAAAGGGUGCGUAGGUGGGCUGUUAAGUCAGUGGUGAAAGUUUUGUCGCUCAACGAUAAAAUCGCCGUUGAAACUGGUGGUCUUGAGUAUGGAUGAAGUAGGUGGAAUGCGUGGUGUAGCGGUGAAAUGCAUAGAGAUCACGCAGAACUCCGAUUGCGAAGGCAGCUUACUAAGGCAUAACUGACACUGAAGCACGAAAGCGUGGGUAUCAAACAGGAUUAGAUACCCUGGUAGUCCACGCAGUAAACGAUGAUUACUAGGAGUUUGCGAUAUAUUGUAAGCUCUACAGCGAAAGCGUUAAGUAAUCCACCUGGGGAGUACGCCGGCAACGGUGAAACUCAAAGGAAUUGACGGGGGCCCGCACAAG